UAAUCUAAAGUGAAACCGCAAAAGGCUCAGUAAACCGGUCAUAGUUUACAGGUUAAAUGCCACUUUACGUGGAUAACUGUGGUAAUUCUAGAGCUAAUACAUGCAAACCAAGUCCCGACCAGAGAUGGAGAGGACGCUUUUAUUGGAUCAAAACCAUUCGCCCGGCUCGCCCGGGCGUCUGCUUGGUGACUCUAGAUAACAUCACAGAUCGCACGGUCCUGGUACCGGCGACAUAUCCUUCAAAUGUCUGACUUAUCAGCUGUCGAUGGUAGAUUCUGUGUCUACCAUGGCUCUCACGGGUGACGGGGAAUCAGGGUUCGAUUCCGGAGAGGGAGCCUGAGAAACGGCUACCACAUCCAAGGAAGGCAGCAGGCACGCAAAUUACCCACUCCCGGCACGGGGGAGGUAGUGACAAAAAAUAACGAUACGGGGACUCAUCCGAGGCCCCGUAAUCCGGAAUGAGAACAUCCUAAAUCCUUUAACGAGGAUCUAUUGGGAGGGCAAGUCUGGUGCCAGCAGCCGCGGUAAUUCCAGCUCCAAUAGCGUAUAUUAAAGUUGUUGCGGUUAAAAAGCUCGUAGUUGGUUCUGCGUGCCACGCUGUCGGUUCACCGCCUGUCGGUGCAACUGGCAUGCCGUGGCAUGUCCUGUCGGUGGCGUGCAGGCUUCGCGGCGCUCCCUGCAUGAUACGUUGUGUAGGUCGUCGAGUAGUCCUCGUACGCCGUCUCAAUCCUGCCGCGGUGCUCUUUACCGAGUGUCGAGGUAGGCCGGCACAUUUUACUUUGAACAAAUUAGAGUGCUUAAAGCAGGCUCUUAAAUCAGCCUGAAUAGUGGUGCAUGGAAUAAUGGAACAGGACCUUGGUUCUAUUUUGUUGGUUUUAGGAAUCCCAGGUAAUGAUCAAUAAGGACAGGCGGGGGCAUUCGUAUUGCGACCUUAGAGGUGAAAUUCUUGGAUCGUCGCAAGACGCACUAGAGCGAAAGCAUUUGCCAAGUAUGUCUUAAUUGAUCAAGAACGAAAGUUAGAGGUUCGAAGGCGAUCAGAUACCGCCCUAGUUCUAACCAUAAACGAUGCCAGCCAGCGAUCCGCCGAUGUUCUUUCGAUGACACGGCGGGGAGCUUCCCCCGGGAAACCAAAGCUUUUGGGUUCCGGGGGAAGUAUGGUUGCAAAGCUGAAACUUAAAGGAAUUGACGGAAGGGCACCACCAGGAGUGGAGCCUGCGGCUUAAUUUGACUCAACACGGGAAACCUCACCAGGCCCGGACAUUGGAAGGAUUGACAGAUCGAUAGCUCUUUCUCGAUUCAGUGGGUAGUGGUGCAUGGCCGUUCUUAGUUGGUGGACUGAUUUGUCUGGUUAAUUCCGAUAACGAACGAGACUCUAACCUAUUAACUAGGCGAUACUGGUAUAUAUUACUACCAGCGAGAUUUAUUCUUCUUAAGGGGACAGGCGGCUCUUAGCCGCACGAGAAUGAGCAAUAACAGGUCUGUGAUGCCCUUAGAUGUUUUGGGCCGCACGCGCGCUACACUGAAGGAAUCAGCGUGUACCCCCUUGACCGAAAGGUCCGGGUAACCCGUUGAACCUCCUUCGUGCUAGGAAUUGGGGCUUGCAAUUGUUCCCCAUGAACGAGGAAUUCCCAGUAAGCGCGAGUCAUAAGCUCGCGUUGAUUACGUCCCUGCCCUUUGUACACACCGCCCGUCGCUACUACCGAUUGAAUGAUUUAGUGAGGUCUUCGGACCGUCGAUUAUUGGCACCGACUCGUUCGGUAUCGAUUUCGAUGGAAAGAUGACCGAAUCUUGAUCAUGAAGAGGAAGUAAAAGUCGUAACAAAGUUUCCG
Molecule: ribosomal RNA, 1829 nt
Filed under: Dysdercus poecilus
Lineage: Eukaryota; Metazoa; Arthropoda; Insecta; Hemiptera; Pyrrhocoridae
Description: SSU rRNA
Rfam family: Eukaryotic small subunit ribosomal RNA
Source: RNAcentral